UACGGGGGGGGCAAGCGUUGUUCGGAAUUACUGGGCGUAAAGGGUUCGUAGGUGGCCUGUUAAGUCAGACGUGAAAUCCCUCAGCUCAACUGGGGAACUGCGUCUGAGACUGAGAGGCUCGAGUGCAGGAGAGGAACGCGGAAUUCCAGGUGUAGCGGUGAAAUGCGUAGAUAUCUGGAGGAACACCGGUGGCGAAGGCGGCGUUCUGGACUGCUACUGACACUGAGGAACGAAAGCCAGGGGAGCAAAC
RNAcentral lists this ribosomal RNA (250 nucleotides) under uncultured bacterium. RNAcentral's name for it is "partial 16S ribosomal RNA". It matches the Rfam family "Bacterial small subunit ribosomal RNA", at positions 524 to 773 of the family's 1533-position model. The record is from RNAcentral.